This 76-nucleotide transfer RNA is filed under the name Pseudomonadota bacterium. RNAcentral describes it as "tRNA-Glu". It matches the Rfam family "tRNA". Rfam says of the family: Transfer RNA (tRNA) molecules are approximately 80 nucleotides in length. The record is from RNAcentral. RNAcentral also lists the same sequence under 2 other names. Lineage: Bacteria; Pseudomonadati; Pseudomonadota.
GACCCCAUCGUCUAGAGGCCUAGGACACCGCCCUUUCACGGCGGCAACGCGGGUUCGAAUCCCGCUGGGGUCGCCA